Orbicella faveolata is the source of this 338-nucleotide long non-coding RNA. NCBI's taxonomy places the organism in Eukaryota, Metazoa, Cnidaria, Anthozoa, Scleractinia, Merulinidae. The record is from RefSeq and is a predicted model, not a curated record.
UGUGCCUCUGUAUUUAUGGGUUGUUCAUUUAUCUUUCCUUUUCAAAUGCCUUUGCAUUAUUAAACUGCUUGAUAAUUUAUUUAUUUUGUCAUUUUGCUUUCAGAGGUGGUGACCAAGUCUGUUUCCUUUUCUCAAAACAAGGUGAAUUUUUCCGCUCUUUUUGAAGUGUUGGCUGUGUUGCUGGAGUGGACAUCAGAGGCUCAUCUUCAAAAAAUGCCAACAUUUCAGGAUUCACCGCAAGGAAGGCUUCAAGAACAACAGUUGGACUUUCCUUCAGCUCUAGUGCAUGAAAAAUGUUUGAAAGUAUAUUACGGACUCACAAAGUGACCAGAUCCCAG